This is an RNA transcript of Amphiprion ocellaris (clown anemonefish), 13504 nucleotides long. It is a transcript of the gene named von Willebrand factor, with no coding region annotated. The record is from RefSeq and is a predicted model, not a curated record. Lineage: Eukaryota; Metazoa; Chordata; Actinopteri; Pomacentridae. The transcript has 56 exons.
UCUGGCCAGUGCGUUGACGUAAUUCUUCCAGAAUAAGAAAAGCGCGUUCACGGAUCUCAUAUACUGUACAUGAAUGAACACGGUGCACGAGCAGGGUGUCCUCGCGAGCGACGCAUCUCAGACAGCACAUCACCAUGGUGAACCCCCUGUUGUAAAACUCACCAGUUUUAUAAUUUCUUUGCAUUUGGGCUGCAUGUAAGAUCUGAUGUCUGCAUCAAGCUUUCUGAACGGUUUAGCUGCAGUGUAUAGGGCGUUUUAGAUCUGUGCAGUUGUUAGCAAAUUUAGCUUUUUAUUGUGGAAGCCUUGAUAAAUGGUUUAAACAGUACUUAAUGCUUUCUAAGGUUAAUAGAUGAUUUACCAAUAGUAAACGGGGUUGCAUGUCGUCAAUUAGAAAACUGUCCACUUGGCCACAUUUUGAAAAAUGCUGCAGAACUUCUAGAUAAAAAUGUAUUUAGCAACAUUUAAACGAUCCCAGGUAGCCAAAAUGGUUUGGCUCAAUAUCGGCUCACAUCUAUCGGACCAGAUGAACUAACUCAGCUUAGUCCGCUUGCGAGGUACUUGUGGAACAUGAUUGUAAAUGACACACCAGAUUCGAAUCUGGUAUGGAUUCUAGUCUGGUUGCCGACACUAAACUGACAAUGCCAGCUCAGAGCCACAAUCACCUCAACCAAUAGGGUAGACCUACCCAAUGCUGGCACAAAUCUGUAUGCCAAGACCUAAUCUAUAUAUCACCAGUCAAGGUUAUGGUCUACCCAACAAAACUGCCAAAAUCCACCCAUAUCUAAACUAGCUGACAGCUUUGAAAAAAUGUAAUAAGUGAGCCAUUGUUCCACCAGGGCUAGCCGUGGCUGAUUUUGAAAUUAAAAAAUGCCAUAAAUGUGUUAAGAAUGACACAAAUGGACUUUUCAACUCAAAGCCAUAGCUUAAAUAUACUUGUAUUUAAUGAAAAACAGAUUUCAAACACUUUUUUGUACACUGUAUCUUUUCUUGUGAAGACUUUGUUCCAAAAAAACCCCCCAAAAAUUCAACAUAGAUGAAAAAUGGAAAUGUUGUUCUUGAAAGAUGCGUUCCAGGUUUAAGAUGUGUAAAAAGUACGCAAUUCAAAAUAAUGACUUUGUUACCUCAUUAAAAAUCCUAAAGGUCACCUCUACUCCUCACAAGCUAAAAAUACCUUGAAUGUUUUAAUAAACAGUAUUUAUUAGCAUUCGUAUCGACCUACUAAGAUCUGAAACUGCAGAAGUGAUUGCUUAUUUGAAAGUGAAAGAAAUUUGCUGGGUUACUAGUAAUGAUAACCAAAAUAGCAUUAAUUAUUCACCAAUGUUACCGCCCUUCACAUUCAAUAAAACAAUUUCAAAUAAUUCUGUCAGAUGAAAGCUCUGCUCAAGCUGAAAGUAGGUGGAGCUGUCAUGGGAAUUUCAUGACUUCACCAGACACUAUAAUUUGCCCCACCUUAAAAUGUACAAAAAAAUCCAACAGAGGAGCAAAGUAGAUAUCAAUCACUUACCAGUGUGGGAAGAUCACUAACUGAGUUACACUCAGUUGCUUUAAAUCCAAGGGUCUGAUAUAGAACUUUGUCACAGCAAAUAUUUUUUAUUGUUUGAGCUUUAAAACAACUGUUGUAGAUUUGGUGAUCUAGGAUUAGUUCAUGCAAACAGGUGCCUUUUAGAACAUGUUUUUUUCAUACUUUGUCUUCAAAGAUAAAAUCUCCGUCAAUGUGUAAAUGCAAAAACACAACAGAAGCACUUUCAAGAGCAACAAUAAACUCUAAAGCCACACAGGCGAAUUGGAAGCUUGAUAAAAAGCUGUUACUGAUUCUGGCAAACUACCAGUAAAGACACAGAGAAACAUAUAUGUAGACUCCUCUGUACCUUGGUAUUGUGAAAGAAUAACUCUACAUUUAUCUGUAAAAAUGGAAAAUGUCCUGUUAGUAAGGCAAGCACCAGCAAUAUUUUGGCCAUGUCCACCACUGCACAAAAUCGUAAACAAAGAAGAUAACGGCACACAUUCAUCACAAGCCACAAAUACUCUGUCUUCACUGUCCACACUACAAAAGAAGUUUCUGAUUAUCUUCACCCUUGAACGAGUUUUCAAAAAGCUCAGUUUUCAGUAACCUUAAACUUCAUUUGUGUGCAAAGUAAAGGCCACAAAACAUAGAAAAGGCUACGUUUUAAAUGACACCCAUGUAGGUUUGCACAGGUCGAGAGCUGAUGAUGAUCUAGUGUCAUACAUGCUGGCUCACUGGGACACUCGAUCUAAAAACUGACCUAUCAUUAACAGCAUGUGUUUGUCUGCUGUGAAAAGUCAAAAUGUCUGCUGUGAAUAAGAUCUUUUGUGCUUGCUUCCUCACUGUCACAUGCUUGGAACAGUUUCCCCACUCAUGUAAUAUUGAUUUUGUCAGUAAUAACUGUGAUUUUACUUCUAUCUCAAGCAAAAAUGUCCUCUGUUAUAAAUUAUCAGCCCUAAGAAUUCUAGUCAUCUGUGUGGGUUUGACAUUACUGUAAAACACCUACUAUAACAGAUGUAAUAUUCCCAAUUCCACUUCAUGUUAGGAGAACUUUUACAGACUGAGUGCUUGAUAAGUUCCCACUUAAACCUACAGUAUUGUGUAAAUGUUUUAGACACUUUAGAUGUUUAAAAUGUUAUCCAUUAUGCAACACCACUAGACACUAGGACCCGUACUAAGCCUCAACAUUAUGAAGUCUGUUUGGAAUCACACAAAGAGACCAAGGCAACAGUGACAAUCCCAGUCCACAGAAAGAAAGUUUUUCUGAGAAUUGUAAAAUUGUGACACAUAUCAUACAUGUUUGUAUGUUUACAAACUGAGCACAGGGAUGGUUUUUCUUACUUUCUUUCUGUCUUUGUGUUUUUUCCGCGUCAUUGCAUAAGUUUGCACCUGAGAGUGAUAAUUGCCACACUUUCCCAGUGUCUGUAUGUGUGUGUUUGUGUAGUUUUGCCGCAGAUGAGUCAUGUGUUUGGGCAUGUGGCACCACCAAAGCAGUGUUAUUGCGUGAGAUAUCUCUCAUAAGUGUGUUUUCCACAAGGAUUGUUUGGGUUGGCGUCGAUACAGAUACGCGUGUGUAGACUAAUCACUCAGCCAGGCGAUCAGUAGGCAUAUCCUGGUAUUGUCCUGCUGAGUGCGUUUGAUGGUGUCAGUCUGCAGGCACCAAGUUGUGGACAGAACGAAAUUCUGCCCUUCUUGACAUAACCUGGCGAAGGGGAGUGGUCUCCAGGAAGAGCCAAUGAGAGCUGGGUGGGGGUGCGGGCUUCGCUAUUAAAUAGAGAUUUCAGUGAGGUUUAAGGUCUGCGUGUGCAAUAAGGCGUUUCACCCUGUUCACAUCUUAAUACUGUGACUAUGUGAGGUCUGAAUGCGGAUUUCCUAAUUUUGCAUUGUGUUUGCCUUAUCUGGAGUCUGGAGCCAUGGAGGUGUGUAUCAGGAGGUAUUUGCAAGAAAUUGUCAUCUUUCUGCAUCUGACAGCUUAUGUGGCAGGUAUGACAGGGAGAUGCAGUCUGUUCGGACGACACCACGUUCACACAUUUGAUGGGGUUUUGUACGAGUUUCCUGGAGACUGCAGCUACCUUCUGGCUGGAGACUGCAACCAUCGCUCCUUCACACUGCUGGGUGACUUUCUAAAUGGCAAAAGAACUGGAGUCACGCUGUUUCUUGGGGAUGCCUUUGAGUUGCACCUGUCCGUAGAUGGACGCCUCUCACAAGGAGAAAAAAGACUGUCUCUGCCCUAUGCAUCUCACGCUGUGUUUGUGGGCUCAGAGCUUGGUUUUUAUAAGCUCUGGAGCGAGGAGUUUGGCUUCACUCUCACCAUUGAUAACGCUGCCAACAUCGCCUUGACACUGACCAAACAUCAUGCCAACCGCACCUGUGGCCUCUGUGGCAACUUCAAUGCUGUGUCAGCUGAUGAAUAUACUGCUCAGGAAGGUUUCCUAACAGAGAACAGUUAUGACUUUGCAAAUUCAUGGGCAGUGAAGGGUGCCGAUCAGGCUUGUCGACGCGUCUCGAAUCCCACCCAAUCCUGUAAUAGCACAAAAGAGACUUCAACGAUUUUGUCCAGCUGCAGCGUGUUGCAGACCUCCAGUGUGUUUCUCCAUUGUGCCCACUUGGUCGCUCCUGAGGCGUUUCUGUUGCUGUGUCAGCUGGAGGCUUGCUACUGUGCCCACGGUCCGGGGGAAGACUGUUACUGUCCAAUCCUGUUGGAGUACGCUCGCACAUGCCACGCUCACGGGGUACUUCUUCGUGGCUGGCUGGAGGAGAGCCAGUGCUACCCCAAGUGUCCAAUUGGAAUGCAGUACAGUGAAUGCACCAAGUCCUGCUCUACAACCUGCCAUAGUCUCAAUAUCCAAGAAGUUUGCAAGGAAGAGUGUGUGGACGGUUGCACCUGUCCUGUUGGUAAAGUUUUAGAUGGAAAUCGCUGUGUGGAGGUUUCUCAGUGUUCCUGUGCGCACAUGGGACGACAUUUCCCUCCAGGAUCCACCAUCUCUCAGGACUGCAACACCUGUGUGUGUCGUCAUGGUUCCUGGGAAUGUACCAAUGAAGGCUGCCCUGGUGAGUGCUUAGUGGUUGGACAGUCUCACUUCAAGACCUUUGACAACAAGUUCUUCACCUUCACUGGCCACUGCCAGUACCUGCUGGCAAAGGACUGCACACAGGACGAGUUCUCUGUCAUAAUUGAGAAUGUACAGUGUGCAGAUGAUCAGGAUGCUGUGUGCACGCGCUCAGUGACACUCAGUCUGCCCUCUCUGGAGGACAUGACAGUAAAGCUGAAGCAUGGAGGAGUUGUUUCUGUCAACAGCAUGGACAUCCAGACCCCAAUGCAUCAUGGCCGUCUGAAUAUCCAGAGGUCUGUUCAGACUUCUGUGCGUGUGAAGUUUGGUGAUGACCUCCGUCUGGACUGGGAUGGGCGUGGCCGUGUGCUGUUAAAGCUGGGACCUCAAUGGGCAGACCGGACCUGUGGUCUCUGUGGUAAUUACAACGGCAACCAAGGUGAUGACUUCUUGUCAGGCUCUGGACUGGUUGAGGCAGGUCCUCAGGCGUUUGGCCAGGCCUGGAGGAUCAAUGGAGACUGCGAGUCGACUCACAAACACGAGACUGAUCCAUGUGCCGUUAACCCCAAAAGAGUGCGUUUUGCAGAAGAAGCCUGUGCAGUGAUAACGUCAGACGCGUUCAGUCCAUGCCACUUCCUGGUGAACCCGGGUCCAUUCCAGCGGUUCUGCCGGUAUGAUGUGUGUGCCUGUGGUGACGGUGAAGGUUGCCUCUGCUCUGCUCUGUCUGCUUAUGCAGCUGCCUGUGCUGCCAGAGGAGUGCUGCUCAACUGGAGGUCUCCUUCACUCUGUGAACUGGAGUGCACUGGAGGGCAGGUGUAUCAGGCCUGUGGGAGUGUGUGUGACCGGACAUGCAACUCUCUGUCUGGAGCUGAGGCUGGCUGCCAGGGGGAGAGAGUAUGUGAGGAGGGCUGUUUCUGUCCUGCUGGGAAAUACCUGAGUGCCUCCGGGGAAUGUGUGACAGCUGACCUGUGCACCUGCCUGCAUGAUGGACAGCUCUACCAGCCGAAUGACGUCUAUGCAGAUCACAACAGCAUUUGCUACUGUGAAAAUGGCUCCAUGCGCUGUAGUUCCACUGAAACGGCUUCAAUGCUGUCUGACCUCUUCUAUGAUGACGACUUGGUGCCAUCCAGAGAGCGGCGGUCAGCUCAGUGCCCUCCUCCACUGCUUCGUGCAGGCUGUGAUUCAGGCGAGAAGGGUCUGGAAUGUGCCAGAACCUGCCAGAAUCUGGACCUGCCUUGUGUCAGUCUUGCCUGCAUCCCUGGCUGCCUCUGUCCACCCGGCACAGUACGUCACCGCAGGGACUGCGUUACACCGGAGCAGUGUCCCUGUUACCAUAACAACAGGCCAUAUGCAGCAGGACAGACUAUAUCUGUGGACUGUAACACCUGUGUGUGUGAGAACAGAAAGUGGAAGUGCACAGAGAAGGUGUGUGAUGGUGUGUGCCGCACUGUCGGGGAGGCGCAUUACAUCACUUUUGAUGGCCUCAAGUACUCCUUCCCUGGUCUUUGCCAGUAUGUCCUGGUCCAGGAUAUGUGUAAUGGGGAAGAGGGUUCCUUCAGAGUGCUGGUGGAAAAUGAAGCCUGUGGAAUUGUGGGACAUCGCUGUGCAAAAGCUAUCACCAUCUUCUAUCAGGGCGGGUUAAUUAUAAUGCAGCAUGGAGAGGUGAAGAUGAAGAGGCCAGUGCCACAGGGCUCACAGGUGGAGAUUGUCCGAUCCGGUCAAUUUUACACCCUGCUGCUGGGGAAACACAUUUCCCUCAGCUGGGACAAGGGAACUCGCCUCCUGGUUCACAUCUCAGCUUCAUACAGGGGCCGGGUAUGUGGCCUGUGUGGUAACUUUGAUGGGAAUGUCAACAAUGACUUGAUGAGCAGCAACAACCAGAUGGAGGUGGAUUCUUCACACUUUGGGAACUCCUGGAAGGUUGUUCCCAGCUGUGCCGAUGUAACACAGAUACGUGCUCCUUGCAGCGACAACAUUGUCAGGUUGGUAACAGUGGAGCAGUCGUGUCGUGUGAUCACUGGUCCCCUCUUUAAAGAAUGCAACAGCCAGGUGGAUGCAGAGCCAUAUGUUGAGAUGUGUGUAGAGGCAGCAUGCUCAUGCCCAUCAGUGGGUGACUGUGAGUGUUUCUGUGACGUUAUUGCAGCCUAUGCACAGGCCUGCUCAGAGAGAGGUGUAUCCAUCAACUGGAGAUCCAAUGAUCUUUGCCCCAUGAGCUGUGAGGAGCUGAACCCUAGGAUCCCUGCUGUAGGGGAGGAGUUGUGCCAGUGGAGGUAUAACACUUGUGGCCCUGCCUGUCCAAUCACCUGCCAGCAUCCAGAUCCACUCCACUGUUCACUCACAUGUGUGGAAGGCUGUCAUGCCUACUGCCCACCAGGCCAACUACUGGAUGAGGUGGCCAUGCGAUGUGUAGAUCCUUCUCAGUGCCAGGUGUGUAUCCAUGAGGGUCAGCGAAUCUCCCACGGCAACAAGGUCAUCCUGAACCACAAUGACCCCAGCCACUGUAAGAUAUGCCACUGCGACAACAACACCCUGACCUGCGAAGCUUGUACCUCCCUCACCUUGUUCACCACUCCUACACCAACACCUGCCUACGCCACCUUCACGUCCAUGCCCUUCACCACCUUGAUGCCUGAGGGCACAUGUGACCGUGCCAUGGAUCUCGCAUUCUUAUUAGAUGGUUCAGAAGCCCUGAGCGAAGACGAAUUUCAGGCAACAAAAGAGUUCAUACUGGGAGUGGUGGAGCGGUUCCGCAUGGGCUCAGCUCACACUCGAGCCACAGUCCUGCUUUACCACUCUGGAGUCAAAACAUAUGACCUGCAGGUUCAGAAGUGGCUGUUUAAGAAGACUGUGCAUGAGCUGCAUUACACAGGAGGAGAUGCAGCCUUCUUGGAUGAGGCCGUCAAAUAUCUUGCUAUCAACAUCUACGACAAGAAUAAGCGUGAGAAUGCUGGCCGCGUUGCCAUUAUCUUGACAGCCAGCGCUAAUCCUCGCCAUGUCCGCUCCAUUGUCAAGAUGCUCCGCAAAAAAGCCAUCACCACCCUAACAGUGGCACUGGGUCCUGGGGUAGACAUGGGGCAAAUUAAUGACAUUACAAAAGCCAAUGAGGACAAUAGGGCUUAUGUGCUGAGCAGCACAAAUGAGCUCCCUGAUCGUCUGUUAGAGCUAACAGAUUACCUCUGCACCUUGGGGAUGGAGCCUGAGGUGGUUAAACCUCCAGCACCGAAGUCCACACCGGGUAAAGCUCCGAAGUCCACAACCACUACCACCACCCCAGUUCCUCACCUGGAGCCAAACCCCACACAUCUCCCCAACACUCGUGCAUCCACCGCACCCUCUGGCCUGUCUCCCAUCACUACAUCGCCGUCUUCCCUCUCUCCAGCCAAAGACGUGACAUUCAUCCUGGAAGGCUCUGAUUCUGUCGGUGAGACCAACUUCAACAAGUCGCUAAUCUUCCUGGAGGAAGUUAUCUCAAAGCUGACUGAGGAUGAAGAGUUAAUUCGCAUCACUGUGAUCCAAUAUUCAAUUACGGUCACUGUUGAGAUUAGUCGCUGGGAGGUGAGACACCACAGAACCCGACUGCUGCAACGACUGAGGGAGAUUCGUUGGAGAGGUGGAAGCAAAACAAACACUGGGACAGCUGUCACGACAGCUAUCCAAGAAAUGGCUACAGUCCAGCCCUCACCUGGCCCCACCCCUCCGCAGCUAGUCUUCCUCGUGACAGAAAACCCACCGACUGACACAGUGACACGUCCACCAUCUACACACACCCACACUCAUGUGUAUCCAAUUGGUGUUGGACCAAAAGUACAGGAAAUUGACUUGUUCCCAUUCAGCUCCCCUCAGCGCCCACUGAUGGUGGAUGACUACACCCAUCUGACAACACUGGUCCACCGCAUAGUCAAUAUCACACGCACCACAGUCAUUCCACUCUCACCUACACUGCCACCUCUUGUCGUCCCAACACACUCCAGCCUGCCACCCACAGUGCCAUGUAAGACACCCGUAGAUGUGAUGUUCCUGCUGAAGGCUGGACAGCAGUUUGAGGACAUGAAGACAUUUGUCAAAGCUUUUAUCAGUAAUUCUGACAUAGGGCAGAACACCACUCAUGUAAGUGUGGUUCAGUAUGGUGACACCAACACAGCAGAGAUCACAUGGAAGAAUGAGCAAAGCAAAUCGGAGCUCCUGAAACUGGUGGAGAGCAUUCCAAGCAGGACCACUGCAGCCCCUGCACUAGGCUCUGCACUGCAAUUCGCUGUGCAAACGUCCAUCUCACCAGUCAGUGGUGGAAGAGUUGGCAUAGCCAAGGCUGUGGUAAUGCUGGUGACUGACAAAUCAACUGAUGAUAUCAAAGAAGCAGCUAAUGAGGCCCUGGCGGCAGGUGUGUCAGUUUUCCCCAUCGGGGUUGGACCAGGCUAUGACAGGAGUGAACUUGGUGUGCUUGGCCGCCAUGGCAACCAAGACAACUCUCUACACCUGAACAGCAUGGACCAGUUGCGGAUGUUGCUGACUCUGGACAGUAGUUACGCAGAGCGAAUCUGCAGAGCGGGGCCACCAGGAGUGUGUGUUGAUGAUAAUGGAAAUGAGAGAAAGCCUGGCGAGUCCUGGCUGCUGGAGGACGGCUGCCACUCACUCCUGUGCCACCCCAGUGGGGCAGUGACAGUACAGAAUCACAAAGUCAGCUGCGACAGGCUGGAGCCGCCAGCAUGCAGAAACAACAUGCCGCCUGUCAGAGUCCAGGAAACCUGUGGCUGCCACUGGGAAUGCCCUUGCAUGUGUAUGGGCAGCUCCACCAAUCAUGUGGUGAGGUUUGACAGCUUGGCACUUAGGCUGGAUGGGGAGGGUUUGUGCUCCUACACACUUCUCACUGUCAGCAGAGGCGUCAAUGAAGGGUCAGAGGUCAAACUACACAGUGGACGUUGUCAAGACUCUGCGAAUUACAACCAAGUCUGCAUGAAAGCCAUGGAGGUGAUCCAUGGACCACAUAAGCUCCUGCUGAAGGAUGACAUGACGGCUGUGAUUGAUCGUGAAGAGCUUGCACUGCCGUGGCGCUUCUCUGGCCUGGAGCUGGUGCGCUAUGGAGGAGUGAUGCUGCAGCUGAAAUCAGAUCACGGCUACGUCUUGACUUUCACCCCUCAAAGCAAUGAGUUUACGAUCACAUUACUCAGCUCGACCAUCAGUGGUCAAACUGCUGGACUCUGCGGUGCCUGUGGGGAGGAGAAAGUUAAUGUCCUCUCUUUACGUAAUGGCAACUCGACCACCGACCAGCCAGCCUUUAUCUCAGACUGGACUGUGGCUGAGGACGGUGGUGUGUGCCUGCCAAAACGGAGGGCAGUGUGUGUGUCUGGAGCAGCGAUGGGAUGUCAGGCCCUUCGUUCUGAGGUGUUUGAACCAUGUCACGCAUACAUUCCCGUCCAAGUUUUUCUCAGCAAGUGUGAGGAACAGGCAUGUGAGGAGUCCGAUGUGUGCGAGCUAAUUUCUGCCUACGCACGCCUCUGUAGACAGAGAGGCGUGUGCGUGGACUGGAGGAGCCCCCACCUCUGUCCAUUACAGUGCCCGACUUCCAUGGAGUAUGAUGCAUGUCGGACAGGGUGUGUACAGGACUGUGGUAGCCUCCAGACGUUGCCAGGCGACUGGUCGGUUGCUAGGGGUAACGAGUCAUCCUGUAUGGACACACCUACUGAAGGCUGUUUCUGCACUGGAGGGAUGGUUUUGCAUCACGGACGGUGUGUAUCACCAGAGGCAUGCGGGCAGUGUGUCGACCAACAUGGGAAGACAUAUAUGUAUAUGCAGAGUUGGGUACCGGAUGAGAACCCAUGCUUGAUUUGCAUGUGCUUAGACCAACAACGCAUCAACUGCACAGCCCGGCCCUGCAAUGAUGUCAAAGCUCCAGUGUGUGGACCCUGUGAGAUCCUGAAAGAAAAGAGAGAAUCCAAGUGCUGCCCUGAGUAUGAGUGUGUGUGUGAUAUGGUGAAUUGUGACCUACCUGAAGUGCCCCGUUGCGAGGAUGGUCAGACUGUGGUGCUGAAAAACCCCGGAGAAUGUCAACCUAUACACGAGUGCGUGUGCAAAAAGGAAGAGUGCGCUCUUCAAGCUCCCCCCUCCUGUCCAGCACAUCGCCAACUGUCAGUCAAAAAGACAAAGUGCUGUGAUGUGUUUGAAUGUGCAUGCAGCUGCCAGAACUCCACUCACAGCUGCCCCACUGGGUUCAUCACAUCCACAUCUACCAACGACUGUGGCUGCACAGAGACCAACUGCCUGCCAGACAAGGUGUGCGUGGUUGGUGGCGUUUCUCAUCCAGUGGGGAGUGAAUGGGAGGAAGGGUGUGAGAAGUGCAGUUGCACCCAGCUACAGGACAAAGACACUUCACUCCACAUUGCUCAGUGCAAACCACCAGUUUGUGAUCAGACCUGCCCUCUUGGCUCAACAUACACUCCAUCAGAAGGAGAGUGCUGUGGGAAGUGCACACCAACCAGCUGUGUGGAGUCAGUGGGAGAUAUGCGAGGGGACACACUUAUUGGGGGAAACCUCAGACGUGUGGGUGAGGUCUGGCCGUCUCCACAUGAUAAAUGUGUCUUACAUCAGUGUGUGAAGGUGAAAGAUGAGGUGUUCAUCUCUUCAACAAACAUCAGCUGCUCUGCUAUGGACGCUCCAUCCUGCCCGCUGGGAACUGAGUUACGCUGCAACACCCAGGACUGCUGCCCUCGCUGCCACUGUGCCCCUAUGGAUGCCUGUGUUCUCAAUAACACUGUGAUAGGAGCAGGAGAAAGGAUGAUGAUGGAUGUGUGUACACACUGUGAGUGUAACAUGGAGGCCGGUGCAGUGAAGAAAUACAAACUGUCCUGCAGACAAAUCAGCUGUCCCUCUUGCCCCAUGGGAUACACUCUGCAGAAGGAGGAAGACGCUUGCUGUGGCCGCUGUGUUCCCACUGCCUGUGUCAUGCAAAGGCCCGAUGGAAACCUCUUCAAUCUGCAAGUAAACACCACUAGCGAGGACGGUUGCAACUCGUAUACCUGUGGUGUAAACAGUAAAGGAGGUCUUGUCCUGCAGACCAAAGUGACAACCUGCCCUCCUUUUAACCGCCAAGCCUGCCUGGAUCAGGGGGGGAAAGUGAGCCAGAUUGGAACCACCUGCUGUGAAGCGUGUACUGAGCCAGAGUGUCGAAGGACAGCGGGAACACUUGACUACAUUAAAGUGGAUGACUGCCAAUCAGAGCACCAGAUAGAACUGCACUACUGUGAGUGUCUCAUGUGGCCCUGCAGCUUCUCCUCCUCCACCUCCUCCUGAAGCCUUCAUCUUCUUCAUCAUCAGCUGCUCAGUGACUCUGUUGGACGUCUCACCGUGUGGCAGCAGCUCAGGAGUUUGCAGUCAACCAAGGCCGACUCAGAAUCACUCCCACCGGGAAGAUCUGUGAAGGAAGGUCCACCCGGCUGGUCCAGAAGCUCCGGUCCAGCAGAGCAGCGUCAGGAUGGAGACGUAACCGGUGUUGAUGUCACCGCCUUGAUGAAUAGAAGAAAAGCCUGUAUUUGGAUCCAGUCCAGUGACACUCCACUCCACUCCACACCACAGACCACAACCUUUCCACUCCACUAUCACCCUCCACAAGGUUCCAAGCAGGGAUUCGAACCAUGACCAUCCACAUGACAGACACACACCCUCUGUGUGAGCUAUCUGUCACACAAGGUCCCUGGUGGAGUUUGUUGGAAUGAUGGUUGCAAGAGGUUGUCAUGCAGCCAAAGUGUAAAAAGAGCCUUGAGCUGGAUUCCAACCAAGGACCUCCUGGAUGAGAGGCAGAUAACUUACCACUGCACUAUCCUUCCUACUGGGUGUAGCUGUUAGUUUUCGUAAAUGAUGGUACACAAAAGUAUUAAGGAAGUGAAGAUAAUAAAGGUACUAAGGUACCGGGGAGGCAAAAAACUUACCUCUACACCACCUGUCCUACAAGAUGUUGCUCUAACUUUGCUUAAAUGAUGCUAUCAACCAGUACUGGCGCAACCAAACGACAAAUAAAAGGUGUGAGUGGAGAUCUGAAUCAUGUCAGGUUUGUUUCUGAGACUGAAUACACCUGAUCUCAUCUGAUCUGCAAAGCUAAGCAGGGUUGGACCUGGUUAGUAUUUGGAUGGGAGACUACCUGGGAAUACCAGGUGCUGUAAGCUUUUUACUUCUCCUCACAACCUGAACAACACACUGCUAGCGACAGCUAUCAACUAAAACCUCUUGGUUUCUUUAUUAUACACUCUAUGAGGUGGAUAAGCUGCAGCUCAUGCUGAUUUAUUGCUGCUUCUGGUUGGAGCCAAAGAACAAAGGCUUCACCUGUUGGAGCAGCUGAUGUCCUGCAGCCUCUUCACCACAGAAAGCCUCUGACAGCUUCAAUUCUUUACACUCUGACUGCAAGACACCAAUCACAUAGGAACAUUUACAUGUAUGGAACAAAGAGCUGAGCUGACACUCAACAUAUGUUUGAGCAUUUAUUGAUAAAGACAUUCAAACAUGUCUAGAGAUAGAACACCAACGCACGGUGUAAGAAAGGUCAGAACAGACUUCACCUGCUCAGGAAACUGAGGUCCUUCGGGGUGCAGGGAGCAAUUCUGAGGACCUUUUAUGGUUGUGUGGUGGUAUCAGCCAUCCUGUAUGGACUGGUCUGCUGGAGCAGCAGCAUCACGGCUGCAGACAGGAAGAGACUAAAGAAACUGGUUAAGAAAGCAAGCUCUGUCCUGGGCUGGUGGUAGACAGGAGGAUGAUGACAAAGCUGUUGUCUAUCAUGGAGGACAUCUCCCACCCCCUGCAGGAAACAGGACCAUCACCGGCAGCUCCUUCAGGGACAGACUGCUUCACCCACGAUGUUGGAAGGAGGUCCUUCCUUCCUGCAGCAGUCAGACUGUGUUCAAUCAAGCCUGCUCCCAGUAGUUCAGAUCACCCAUGAAGUAACUGCAAUAAAAUGUAAAUAAGUCAA